Molecule: ribosomal RNA, 208 nt
Filed under: uncultured bacterium
Lineage: Bacteria
Description: partial 16S ribosomal RNA
Rfam family: Bacterial small subunit ribosomal RNA
Source: RNAcentral
CGUGUAGGCGGUUGUGCAAGUCAGGGGUGAAAGGCACCGGCUUAACCGGUUGAUCUGCCCUUGAAACUGCACGACUUGAGUACGGGAGAGGAGAGCGGAAUUCCCGGUGUAGCGGUGAAAUGCGUAGAUAUCGGGAAGAACACCAGUGGCGAAGGCGGCUCUCUGGCCCAGUACUGACGCUGAGGCGCGAAAGCCAGGGGAGCGAACG